ACCCGCUGAACUUAAGCAUAUCAAUAAGCGGAGGAAAAGAAACCAACAGGGAUUGCCUCAGUAACGGCGAGUGAAGCGGCAACAGCUCAAAUUUGAAAUCUGGCCCUUUCAGGGUCCGAGUUGUAAUUUGCAGAGGAUGCUUCGGCGUCGGCUCCGGUCUAAGUUCCUUGGAACAGGACGUCAUAGAGGGUGAGAAUCCCGUAUGUGACCGGCUGUCUUCGCCAUGUGAAGCUCCUUCGACGAGUCGAGUUGUUUGGGAAUGCAGCUCUAAAUGGGAGGUAAAUUUCUUCUAAAGCUAAAUACUGGCCAGAGACCGAUAGCGCACAAGUAGAGUGAUCGAAAGAUGAAAAGCACUUUGGAAAGAGAGUUAAAAAGCACGUGAAAUUGUUGAAAGGGAAGCGCUUGCAACCAGACUUGCCCGCGGAUGUUCAGCCAGGCUUCUGCCUGGUGUACUCUUCCGCGGUCAGGCCAGCAUCAUUUUGGGUGGUUGGAUAAAGGUUCCGGGAAUGUGGCUCCCUUCGGGGAGUGUUAUAGCCCGGUUCGGAAUGCAGCCAACCUGGAAUGAGGUCCGCGCUUCGGCUAGGAUGCUGGCGUAAUGGUUGUAAGCGGCCCGUCUUGAAACACGG
RNAcentral lists this ribosomal RNA (626 nucleotides) under uncultured fungus. Its description in RNAcentral is "LSU rRNA". It matches the Rfam family "Eukaryotic large subunit ribosomal RNA", at positions 23 to 664 of the family's 3401-position model. Lineage: Eukaryota; Fungi. The record is from RNAcentral.